RNAcentral lists this ribosomal RNA (251 nucleotides) under uncultured prokaryote. Its description in RNAcentral is "partial 16S rRNA". It matches the Rfam family "Bacterial small subunit ribosomal RNA", at positions 525 to 775 of the family's 1533-position model. The record is from RNAcentral.
ACGUAGGGGGCAAGCGUUGCUCGGAAUUACUGGGCGUAAAGGGUGUGUAGGUGGCUGAUUAAGUUAAGGAUGAAAUCCCGAGGCUCAACUUCGGAACUGUCCUUGAUACUGGUCAGCUUGAGGCUAGUAAAGGAGAGCGGAAUUCCCGGUGUAGCGGUGAAAUGCGUAGAUAUCAGGAGGAACACCAGAGGCGUAGGCGGUUUACUGGACUAGACCUGACACUGAGGCGCGAAAGCGAGGGGAGCAAACGG